This 520-nucleotide ribosomal RNA is filed under the name uncultured Glomus. RNAcentral describes it as "SSU rRNA". It matches the Rfam family "Eukaryotic small subunit ribosomal RNA", at positions 569 to 1088 of the family's 1831-position model. The record is from RNAcentral. Lineage: Eukaryota; Fungi; Glomeromycota; Glomeromycetes; Glomerales; Glomeraceae.
AGCAGCCGCGGUAAUUCCAGCUCCAAUAGCGUAUAUUAAAGUUGUUGCAGUUAAAAAGCUCGUAGUUGAAUUUCGGGAUCAAUAUUUCGGUCAUGCCGUUGGUAUGCACUGUUAUCAUUGAUUUCUCACCUUUCUAAAGAACCGUAAUGCCAUUAAUUUGGUGUUACGGGGAAUUAGGACUGUUACCUUGAAAAAUUAGAGUGUUUAAAGCAGGCUCGCGCUUGAAUACAUUAGCAUGGAAUAAUGAAAUAGGACGUUUGAUUCUAUUUUGUUGGUUUCUAGGAUCGACGUAAUGAUUAAUAGGGAUAGUUGGGGGCAUUAGUAUUCAAUUGUCAGAGGUGAAAUUCUUGGAUUUAUUGAAGACUAACUACUGCGAAAGCAUUUGCCAAGGAUGUUUUCAUUAAUCAAGAACGAAAGUUAGGGGAUCGAAGACGAUCAGAUACCGUCGUAGUCUUAACCAUAAACUAUGCCGACUAGGGAUCGGAUGAUGUUAAUUUUUAAUGUACUCUAUUCGGCGCCU